AAAAAAGAGGACACCGGUACCCCCUCCCAACUUUCUCGUGCUCUCUCCCUCUCCCUCCUCUUUCCUUCUCUCCUUAAGUACGUGGGGCUGGAAAGUGUAAUUAAUACAAGAAAUCAAAUAACUAUCCACCAUAUCUUUUUGGAGAGGUCUAAUUGGUGGAGUUUCACUAGAUAUAAUUAACCAAGAAUUCCAACAGCCAAAAUAUGAUCUGUUGAAAGAGAGCCUUUUGCUUCUUCUUUUUUUAUGCCUUUUAUUUUUAUUCUGUUGACUUUUGAUUUUAUCUGCUUUAAUUUUAGCUUGUAAUUAUAAAGUUUUAUUUGCGGGGAUCCUAGUUGGCACUUUGACCUGAGAUAGCAAGAUUCAAGCCUUGACCUAUCAAUGGAUUUAUUUUGCUACAACAUUUAUUUGUUAUGUUAGUAUAUUUUUCUACAAUGUUGGUCAAAUUUUAAUAUUUUUAACUUAGGAAUCUUAUAUUUGAAACGGAGGGAGUAGCAAAUUAGUUUAUGGGUGAAUAACAAGCUAUGGGCUGGCACGCAUGUGCAUUUAUUUGGUAUUCCCUAUGUCCUAUUUUAGUAGGCUUAUUUCAUUAUUUUUUUUGACUAAGUGUUUUACCAAAACUUACUCUUGC
RNAcentral lists this long non-coding RNA (628 nucleotides) under Brachypodium distachyon (stiff brome). RNAcentral describes it as "long non-coding RNA (BDIS_LNC004436)". Lineage: Eukaryota; Viridiplantae; Streptophyta; Magnoliopsida; Poales; Poaceae. The record is from RNAcentral.